This 253-nucleotide ribosomal RNA is filed under the name uncultured bacterium. RNAcentral describes it as "partial 16S ribosomal RNA". It matches the Rfam family "Bacterial small subunit ribosomal RNA", at positions 524 to 776 of the family's 1533-position model. The record is from RNAcentral.
UACGUAGGGUGCGAGCGUUGUCCGGAAUUAUUGGGCGUAAAGAGCUCGUAGGCGGUUUGUUGCGUCGGCUGUGAAAUCCCGAGGCUCAACCUCGGGUCUGCAGUCGAUACGAGCAAACUAGAGUGUUGCAGGGGAGACUGGAAUUCCUGGUGUAGCGGUGAAAUGCGCAGAUAUCAGGAGGAACACCGGUGGCGAAGGCGGGUCUCUGGGCCGAUACUGACGCUGAGGAGCGAAAGCGUGGGGAGCGAACAGG